Molecule: transfer RNA, 51 nt
Filed under: Metacrangonyx ilvanus
Lineage: Eukaryota; Metazoa; Arthropoda; Malacostraca; Amphipoda; Metacrangonyctidae
Description: transfer RNA Valine
Source: RNAcentral
AAAAAUGAUUGUGUUAUUACUUACAAUAAUAAAGUCCGUUAGGCAUUUUUA